GACGAACGCUGGCGGUGUGCUUAACACAUGCAAGUCGAACGGUAAGGCCCUUUCGGGGGUACACGAGUGGCGAACGGGUGAGUAACACGUGAGUAACCUGCCCUCAUCUCUGGGAUAACAGUCGGAAACGGUUGCUAAUACUGGAUAUGGGCUUGCAAGGCAUCUUGUGGGUUGGAAAGAUUUUUUUGGUUGGGGAUGGACUCGCGGCCUAUCAGCUUGUUGGUGAGGUAGUGGCUCACCAAGGCUUCGACGGGUAGCCGGCCUGAGAGGGCGACCGGCCACAUUGGGACUGAGAUACGGCCCAAACUCCUACGGGAGGCAGCAGUGGGGAAUAUUGCACAAUGGACAGAAGUCUGAUGCAGCAACGCCGCGUGCGGGAUGACGGCCUUCGGGUUGUAAACCGCUUUCAAUUGUGACGAAGCUUUUUGUGACGGUAGCAGUAGAAGAAGCACCGGCUAACUACGUG
This 466-nucleotide ribosomal RNA is filed under the name uncultured bacterium. RNAcentral describes it as "partial 16S ribosomal RNA". It matches the Rfam family "Bacterial small subunit ribosomal RNA", at positions 28 to 507 of the family's 1533-position model. The record is from RNAcentral.